AAAAUGGUACUUUGUGACUAGACAUUUCCAAAAUAUGGGACAGAAAAGAUAAACAAAUGCUUUGCUAGCUUGCAGCAAUUUAGUAGACAGAAAGUUCCAAGUGGGUAAGUGUCUAUCAAAUUUUAUAACAUUUUGAAGAAAAGCAUAUGAUCCAAUGAUCCAAGUAUAGAUGCAUGAUUGCAUGUGGGAAUAGUUAGCUAGCUACUUGGCUUUUCACUUUUGCACUAUGCAUGCACCAAAAUUAUACCUACGAUUCCAUUUUAAAAGAGAGAAGCUCUUUUGAGUUUGAAAAAUUCUCAUGUAAUUCAACAAUUUUUCUUCAAUAGUUUGGGACUACUAAGUAGUUCGGAAAACAAACUAUGAUGAUUGACAAACAGUAAAGAUUGUUUAAAAAGUCAAACUAAUUGGUAGGUUAAACUACUGAAGAUAAACUCAUAAAUGAGAUUAUUCAUUUUUUAUUUUUCUUGCUCAUCAAUUGAUUAUUGUCUCAUGCAUAACUUGAUUCCUGUUGAAUAACCUAUGGAGUAAGGGAUGAGUGUAAUAUGCAUAAAUUCGUAUUUAAUUUUUUUUCGCUCGUUAGUUGAUCAUAGUCUCACACACAACUUCAAAUCUUCGAUCCUUGUCAAGUUAUGGGGUGAAACUACAAUAUCCCAAACUAUUGUAUACAUAGAUGAGGCAACGAGACAAUCUCU
This 692-nucleotide long non-coding RNA is filed under the name Malus domestica (apple). RNAcentral's name for it is "long non-coding RNA (MDOM_LNC014741)". The record is from RNAcentral. Lineage: Eukaryota; Viridiplantae; Streptophyta; Magnoliopsida; Rosales; Rosaceae.